CUCCCCCCACUACAUUUGGUACAAAGAAUAAAUCAAUCUCAGUGGACAGCAAUUUCCUCCCCAGGUGGACUCAGCAUCAGAUUAACACUGGAGGCAUCAAAUUAUCUGCAUCAGAUGUGGACUUCGUUCCUGCUCUCUGUUGAUUUCAAAAAAACAAACUCUCAUCUCAUUUUCUACAAGUAAGGCAUUAGGAACAGUGGUGGUAGCACACUACACGUUCUUCUCCUACAGUAGCUGUACAGUUCGCAUAUUUCGGUGUGGAACACCCCAUUAAAGGUGUUUCUGCUGAACGUUGGGCCAUUGGACUUCCACUGUCUUUUGUCCAUCGUGUUUUGUGCACUGUAUGCCCAAAUCCUCCCCCAAGGGCUCGCACAUAACCAACGGCUCCAGACCAAUCCUGUGACCCCCUAGGGUCUCCUCUUGGAAGUGAAAGAAAAAGGAGAGCUAGAUGGUUUCUUUGGGAAGCAAUGCUUCCCAAUUAAGUGCAUUUCCAGUGUUUUUCAAGCUGGACUUCGGAACUCUUAACCAGUUUAACAGCCAGGAGCAGUCCAGCCUGCUACAGAUACUGCAGAUCUGGUGAUCAAACUGCUGUAUUACCUGGACAGCAAGAAUGUCACAUAUUUGUGUCAUUAACCUGCCACGCGUUAGAGAGCUCAUAACAAAAUGCAACCCUUACAUUACAUUAACAUGAUCCUUAAAGAAGGGCACCCUCAUGCAAACAUUAAUUGAGUAAUAAGUGCUCUGAUUUCUCUCUUUUUCUCCCUGCACUCUCCUGGCUUCUGCUUUCUGCUCGAAUGGAGCCGAGUGACCAUCGCUGUGACUGCCCAUUAUGUGAAAAGAGCUGGGUCCAUAUGGAAGGCUGGUGAGAAAGGAGUGUCUCAAUGAAAUGAUAACCACAUGCACCACCCUCAGAGCAUCUGCCCUCCAGCAGCUGACAAAAUAUCCACCUUCUGAGCGCAAUGGUUGUAAUGACCCACCUUGCAAAAUUCAACACCAGGAAAACAAAUGACGUCCGGCCCACCCACA
Molecule: long non-coding RNA, 1026 nt
Filed under: Gallus gallus (chicken)
Lineage: Eukaryota; Metazoa; Chordata; Aves; Galliformes; Phasianidae
Description: long non-coding RNA NONGGAT008640
Source: RNAcentral